CGUAGGGACCAAGCGUUGUUCGGAUUUACUGGGCGUAAAGGGCGCGUAGGCGGCGUGGCAAGUCAGCUGUGAAAUCUCCGAGCUUAACUCGGAACGGUCAGCUGAUACUGCUGUGCUAGAGUACAGAAGGGGCAAUCGGAAUUCUUGGUGUAGCGGUGAAAUGCGUAGAUAUCAAGAGGAACACCUGAGGUGAAGACGGGUUGCUGGGCUGAUACUGACGCUGAAGCGCGAAAGCUAGGGUAGCAAACGGGAUUAGAUACCCCGGUAGUCCUAGCCCUAAACGAUGAAUGCUUGGUGUCUGGAGUAUUAAUUCUCCGGGUGCCGUCGCUAACGCUUUUAGCAUUCCGCCUGGGGAGUACGCACGCAAGUGUG
Molecule: ribosomal RNA, 372 nt
Filed under: uncultured organism
Description: bacterial SSU rRNA
Rfam family: Bacterial small subunit ribosomal RNA
Source: RNAcentral